CGUCAAAUCAUCAUGCCCCUUAUGACCUGGGCUACACGCGUGCUACAAUGGCUAGUACAAAGAGUUGCAAUACCGUGAGGUGGAGCUAAUCUCAUAAAGCUAGUCUCAGUUCGGAUUGUAGUCUGCAACUCGACUACAUGAAGUUGGAAUCGCUAGUAAUCGCGAAUCAGAAUGUCGCGGUGAAUACGUUCUCGAGUCUU
This 200-nucleotide ribosomal RNA is filed under the name uncultured organism. RNAcentral's name for it is "partial small subunit ribosomal RNA". It matches the Rfam family "Bacterial small subunit ribosomal RNA", at positions 1183 to 1382 of the family's 1533-position model. The record is from RNAcentral.